UACGUAGGUAGCAAGCGUUGUUCGGAGUUAUUGGGCGUAAAGCGGGUGUAGGUGGCUCUAUAAGUCAGGAGUGAAAUCCCCGAGCUUAGCUUGGGAAGUGCUUUUGAUACUGCAGAGCUUGAAUGUGGGAGAGGAUAAUAGAAUUCCAGGUGUAGUGGUGAAAUACGUAGAUAUCUGGAGGAAUACCGGUGGCGAAGGCGGUUAUCUGGCCCAACAUUGACACUGAGACCCGAAAGCGUGGGGAUCAAACAGG
RNAcentral lists this ribosomal RNA (253 nucleotides) under uncultured bacterium. RNAcentral describes it as "partial 16S ribosomal RNA". It matches the Rfam family "Bacterial small subunit ribosomal RNA", at positions 524 to 776 of the family's 1533-position model. The record is from RNAcentral.